Molecule: ribosomal RNA, 253 nt
Filed under: uncultured bacterium
Lineage: Bacteria
Description: partial 16S ribosomal RNA
Rfam family: Bacterial small subunit ribosomal RNA
Source: RNAcentral
UACGUAGGGGGCAAGCGUUGUCCGGAUUUAUUGGGCGUAAAGAGCGUGUAGGCGGUUUGGUAGGUCCGCUGUGAAAACUCGAGGCUCAACCUCGAGACGCCGGUGGAAACCAUCAGACUAGAGUCCGGAAGAGGAGAGUGGAAUUCCUGGUGUAGCGGUGAAAUGCGCAGAUAUCAGGAGGAACACCGAUGGCGAAGGCAGGUCUCUGGGCCGCAACUGACGCUGAGGAGCGAAAGCAUGGGGAGCGAACAGG